Molecule: long non-coding RNA, 683 nt
Organism: Chelonia mydas (Green sea turtle)
Lineage: Eukaryota; Metazoa; Chordata; Testudines; Cheloniidae
Exons: 3
Source: RefSeq, a predicted model, not a curated record
ACAGGUCCAUCUGCUUGGCAUCACACCCAUCCAUCCACAUGGAAACAUCCAUCGGGUCAAAAAGUCAUGGAGAUCGUUAAAUAAAAACCGGUAAUGGAAUUUGUGACUUCUGUGAGUAAGAUGCAGCCUUAAACAGAAGACGAGCUUGAGCUUUUAAAUGAAAGAAAAGCAGCUCUCCAGAAGGGCAAGUCUUAUGAGUGGAGUCUCUUCUACUGUGCAGGAGGACAUACUGGACCUGCUCAGAACAGGCUAGUUCGUGGGUUUGAAACCAUGAAGGAACCACGCCGUCAGAUGGAGUUUCUGGAGCUGUGGAUGAAGAAGCCAGCUGUUGUCCUGAGAGAGAGCAGAUCUGGUCUGCUGGGGAGAGUCCUUGGAAGACGGAUGGACAUGUGCAGCAGUGACCAGGGAAGAGGUUCAGCACUGCCCCGAAUCCCGUCUUCAGCCAAGGACGUUUGAGAAGGAACUGAGGGGGGGUGCAGGAUGCACACGCUCAGGCAGACCCUAACAAUGCCGCGAGACAGCAGCUGAGCGCAUGCAUCCCGACCAGGCACUGCUACUGAAGAUCUCCGAUCAACGGCGCCAGGACGCACCAUCACCUGGAGUGGAGCACCCACAGGGACAGCACUCGAAGAACACCACAUCUUUCCUCAUAGCAUUAGGGUGACUAAAUGUCCCGUUUUUAA